UACAGAGGGGGCAAGCGUUAUUCGGAAUUAUUGGGCGUAAAGGGCGCGUAGGCGGCUGCGCAAGUUCAAGGUGAAAUCCCUCGGCCCAACCGAGGAACUGCCUUGAAUACUGCGCGGCUUGAGGCCGGGAGAGGGUGGUGGAAUUCCCAGUGUAGCGGUGAAAUGCGUAGAUAUUGGGAGGAACACCAGUGGCGAAGGCGACCACCUGGACCGGUUCUGACGCUGAGGCGCGAAAGCGUGGGGAGCAAAC
This 250-nucleotide ribosomal RNA is filed under the name uncultured bacterium. RNAcentral describes it as "partial 16S ribosomal RNA". It matches the Rfam family "Bacterial small subunit ribosomal RNA", at positions 524 to 773 of the family's 1533-position model. The record is from RNAcentral.